AAGCCCGCGCGCCAUUAUCUCUAGUGGACAGAUCACGUCGCAAACACCGUGAGAGUGUGACCCUCCCUGCCUCUUCCCUGCACCACGCAUACACACCUGCCCAGAUAGCCGCACACGCGCACACACGCACACAUCCACGCACAUACGUAUAGAUAGAUGCAUAUGCAUGUGUGUGUGCCUAUAUACAGUAUAUGUAGAUCUAUGCGUGCGUGUGCAUUGCCUCCACUGCGCUCCUUAUUACCGUUUUUAUUGUUGCUGUAAUUUGCGGUGUCUCUGUGUGCUCACUCGAUUGCCAUCGCUGCCGAGCGUGUGUGUGUGUGUGUGCGUGCGCCCCUCCCGCCUUCUCCCUCCGUGAGUCGUCGAGCUCCACAAUGCCGAACAGUCAGGGUAACCCCUCCCUCAGCGGCGCUGCCAGUGCUGCUGUGGGUGGUGCAUCGGGGGCCUCGCGUAGCACCUUCAACGCCGCGCACAUCAAGGCCGAGUUCAACCAGUACUGGUACUCCAGGAACACGAUCCACCACCUUGUGCGCGAGGUGUGCCAUCACGCCACCGCCUGCGCCUUCUUGUCCACCCCGUCGCUCUUCUUUGCACUGGACGAGCGCCGCGGCGAUGAGACGGCCGAGGACGAGGCACAGAUGACGCAGCUUCGGCGCUGCAGUCGCGUGUUCGAGUACGACGCCCAGUGGGCCAGCGACCCGUGCUACGUGCAGUACGACUUUCACCAGCCAGAGCAGGUGCCGAUCCAGUACAUGGCUGCCUUCGACUACGUCGUCGCCGACCCGCCAUUCAUCACAGCGGAUGUGUGGGCGCGUUACGUGACGACGGCGAAGCUGCUGCUCAAGGAGGGCGGCAAGCUGCUCUUCACGACGGUGCUGGAGAAUCACACAAUGCUAGAGAACCUGCUCGAUCGCCCGCUCUUCAUUGCCACCUUCUACCCCCUUGUGGAGCACCUAACUUACCAGUACGUGUGCUUCCUCUCUUACGAGCCCACCUGCCUCGCGCAGCCGAACGCGGAGCUGCCCGAGGUGGACGCAAAGAUGGCUGCAGCCAUCCGCGUGGCAAACGACCUGCGCUCUUCGGAGAGGGAGUUCGCUCUGCAGAUGGCGCAGCGCAAGCGUGAGGGCGAGGAGCGGCUGCCUACUGCCGCCUUUGAGCGCGACAACGAGCUCGCGCAAAAUCCGGAGGCGAAGCAACGCGCAGAGGCGGAGCGAAACGCCGUGAACUGGGACACAAUCCCGAUCGAGAAGAUGGAGUGGGGGCACAUCCCGGAGGGGCUCACCAUGUACCCGGAGGGCAACGUGCCACCGGCCGAGGUGCAGCAGAGGGCCGUGUCUGGCACCAGCGACGAUCCGGCGGCAGCGGCACCGGUAGCAGCUGAGAGCUUCGGACUCGAGUACGACGCGUGUCUGCGCCUUCGCGCGAAUCUGGACGCCUUCAAGAGCUCUAUUGAUGCGAUGCAGCGCCACAUGGACGCGCAGAUGAAGCUGCGUCACCAGCGGGUAAAGCUGAGCAAAGAGCUGACGGUGCUGAAAGAGGCAUCCAAGCAUCACGACGACACCGCGGGCUCUUCCGCCUCUGCCAUUGAGGCACAAGUCGCCGAUGCAACGAACGCCAUUGCAAUGAAUGAGCGGGAGCGGGCCGAGAGGCUGGACGAAAUGGAGCUGCUGGCGCGGCAGAUAGAAAAGGGAGAGGCUGAGCUGGUGGCGCUCGCGCUGCAGCAGCCGUCCUCUGCCUCUCCUGCCACCGACAUGGCAGCUGCUGGUGACGUAGAUACCAACGCGGCCGAUGCAAGUGACCAGCAGUCCCCAUCUGCCGCCACCCUGUAUUAUGCCCCCUACGCGGCGGCCAUGAAGGAGUGCAUUCAGGCGUAUCGCACGGUUGAGGCAAAGAAGGUGCCGCUGCAGGAGCUCUCCGCGGAUGCAACGCGUCGCUUCAAGUUUCCUGUCUUCGCACGCAUGAAGGAGUUGCUGCAGCGGAUGAAGGAGCUGAAGCAGCAGCGGUGACGCCACAUUUGCUCAUGUAUGUCGGCGUGUGCGCGGUGCGUGCUGUGCAGCUGCAGGGGCGUGCAUACCUUUCCUAUAGCUCCUUGUCAACCACACCGAAGGUGCACCGCUUCUCUUCCACCCCCACGACGUCCUUCGUAGCCAUCUCUCCCUCGUGCGUGCGUGUGUCUGCCAUAAAGACAAAG
RNAcentral lists this unclassified non-coding RNA (2188 nucleotides) under Leishmania donovani. Its description in RNAcentral is "gene:LdHU3.17.0760(CDS-product:Probable_N6-adenin e_methyltransferase_putative)". Lineage: Eukaryota; Euglenozoa; Kinetoplastea; Trypanosomatida; Trypanosomatidae. The record is from RNAcentral.